GCGAGUGUCGUAUAGUCUGGCCAGUACGUAAGCUUGCCAAGUUUACAACAGGGGUUCAAAUCCCCUCACUCGCACCA
This 77-nucleotide transfer RNA is filed under the name Nanobdellota archaeon. RNAcentral describes it as "tRNA-Gly". It matches the Rfam family "tRNA". From Rfam's summary of the family: Transfer RNA (tRNA) molecules are approximately 80 nucleotides in length. Their secondary structure includes four short double-helical elements and three loops (D, anti-codon, and T loops). The record is from RNAcentral. Lineage: Archaea; Nanobdellati; Nanobdellota.